GAUGAACGCUGGCGGCGUGCCUAAUACAUGCAAGUCGAACGAAACUUCUUUAUCACUGAGUGCUUGCACUCACCGAUAAAGAGUUGAGUGGCGAACGGGUGAGUAACACGUGGGCAACCUGCCCAAAAGAGGGGGAUAACACUUGGAAACAGGUUCUAAUACCGCAUAACCAUAGUUACCGCAUGGUAACUAUGUAAAAGGUGGCUAUACUACCGCUUUUGGAUGGGCCCGCGGCGCAUUAGCUAGUUGGUAGGGUAAAGGCUUACCAAGGCAAUGAUGCGUAGCCGAAUUGAGAGGUUGAUCGGCCACAUUGGGACUGAGACACGGCCCAAACUCCUACGGGAGGCAGCAGUAGGGAAUCUUCCACAAUGGGCGAAAGCCUGAUGGAGCAACGCCGCGUGGGUGAAGAAGGUCUUCGGAUCGUAAAACCCUGUUGUUAGAGAAGAAAGUGCGUGAGAGUAACUGUUCACGUUUCGACGGUAUCUAACCAGAAAGCCACGGCUAACUACGUG
RNAcentral lists this ribosomal RNA (512 nucleotides) under uncultured bacterium. Its description in RNAcentral is "partial 16S ribosomal RNA". It matches the Rfam family "Bacterial small subunit ribosomal RNA", at positions 28 to 507 of the family's 1533-position model. The record is from RNAcentral.